This is a non-coding RNA of Castor canadensis (American beaver), 1117 nucleotides long. The record is from RefSeq and is a predicted model, not a curated record. NCBI's taxonomy places the organism in Eukaryota, Metazoa, Chordata, Mammalia, Rodentia, Castoridae.
UUGGGAUAUGAGGAUCCUGCUUGACAUGGCCACAGCCAUCUUGGUCAUAACUGUCAUUUUGCCUGCCAGGUGACUCUGGCAUGAAUCCUGAACUCUGAAGGACAAAACAUUUGUCAAAAUAAUCAGCUGGCUGUUAUUGCCUGGACUGUUUUUUAAUCAGUAUUAGCCAUAUUAAUCCUUUCUUAAGAAAGGCCAGGUACAAUCUUGUUGGCUAUAGCCUUUGUCUAGUUUAGCAUACAAACCCCUUCCUCUAGACUUGCUGCUCUAGGUAGGCUUCUGUCCCGAAGUUUCUAAUAAAUUGCAUUUUGUGCAGUCAUGGUUCUGUCUGCCUCUUGAUGUGGUCUUAUUAGCAUCUUCCUCUUUUGGGGGCUAAUUCUUGUUCUGGAACUGUAUUUUUCCAAAACAAGGGGGCAAAAUUACUUUUGGCUGAGGACCACUGUUUUAUACGCAUUAGUGGCACAUAGUUAUCACUUCAAUGAUGAUAGGAAUGAUGGAAAAGUGAUACUUUAAAGCACUAUAGAAUUUUGGGGGAAAAGGCAGAAUGUUUUUUGAAAUUAAAAACAAAUACUUUUGAUUGAGCAAUCCUUACUACUGAGAACAUAUCACAUGAAGAUCUUUGCAUUUUAUCAAUUUAUCAUUUGAUCACUGUAGUCUUGAGUCUUUUCUUGAACAUUGUUUAGUUCUUAAUUGUUUCCUCUUAUUUCAGAACUCUCUUGAUAGAGCACAAGCAGCCAAGAACAAAGGCAAUAAAUAUUUUAAAGCAGGAAAAUAUGAGCAAGCUAUUCAGUGCUAUACUGAGGCUAUUAGUUUGUGCCCUACUGAGAAGAAUGUUGACCUUUCCACGUUUUAUCAAAACAGAGCUGCUGCCUUUGAACAGUUGCAAAAAUGGAAAGAGGUGGCACAAGAUUGUACAAAGGCUGUUGAACUUAAUCCCAAAUAUGUGAAAGCUCUCUUUAGACGUGCAAAAGCCCACGAGAAGCUAGACAAUAAGAAGGAAUGUUUAGAAGAUGUCACUGCUGUGUGUAUAUUGGAAGGGUUCCAAAAUCAACAAAGCAUGCUAUUAGCUGAUAAAGUUCUUAAACUUCUUGGAAAAGAGAAAGCCAAAGAAAAAUACAAG